Liolophura sinensis is the source of this 645-nucleotide long non-coding RNA. RefSeq lists it as uncharacterized. The transcript has 5 exons. The record is from RefSeq and is a predicted model, not a curated record. Lineage: Eukaryota; Metazoa; Mollusca; Polyplacophora; Chitonida; Chitonidae.
AACGGCCGAGGGAAACUUGACGGGGGAAAGUCUUAGCUGCCCCUAAUGAUUACACAGAUUAACAAAUCCCGUGGAAUACAAGUGACUCUCCCUGCAUCUUGACAUCUGCAACAAAGGCCAAACUGAGGAAUUCACCACCUGUAGGUGAUCUCCAACAUUACUGAAGCACCAAGAAGCCAGCAUCUGGGCGCUAGACAAGGGACAGAUCAUAACAUGUGGACCUUAUACCAUGCAGACUGCACAGGUAGUGGAACCUCUGGCCUAUGGACCUGGGGGACUGAUGAGGACAGUUCAAGGAUGAGGGUCUUACUUCCAUUCACAGUGUCAUGAUUGUCCUGGAGUAUUGGAUAUCUGGGGACAAACCAAGUGAAUUGCAUUAUUGCCAGAGACCAAAACGAAUAGUUACACCGCAGACUGGCGGGCCAGGGUGGACAAAAACAACCCACUAAUUAAACGUCUCAACAUAAACCAAGUUCAUCUCAUUAUGAAAGACAGGAAAACAAAAUGUUACACCACAGAUUGACAAGCCAUGAUACAUGUGAACAGCCCACUCCGAGGAAGGCCUUACACAUGGGUAAAGGGAGAUAACUCUGCCAUUUCCGUCAGGCAACUGGUACACUGGUUUGAAAGAUCUGUUUUACCAAC